UCUGAAUUCACUGAAGUGGAUAAGAUGGAAUUUCAAUCCGCUAAAACACCUUUUACAAUUACUUCUAUGAAUGGAAACCCUAUGAAUUCACUGAAGAUCAUCAUUAAAUAUCUAAUACAUGCAUAAAUUUGCCUCUGGAUUAAUUAGAAUAAAUUCAUCGCACUUCUAAUAUUUUAUUGUAAUUUUGUACACAUAUUUGAGGGGGCAUUCAUAGUGUUUGGAGCUAUGUUCGUGAAGGAACAUGCUGAACAGUUGAUGAUGGAAGGUGAGUUAAAACCUGGUGGUGGCCAUUACAGCAACUCUACCACCUUGAUCUGCUACUACGACGAGAUGGUAUUUUUUGGGGGACUUCAAAAUCAGGCUACUUCUCCAUUAAAUCUGCCAUGUGAUUUUGUCGUAUGGGUGAGAGUUGAAUGAUGCACAUACAAUGUGGAAAUUAAUUUGGCAUUGGCAGUCAAGGCCUCCAAAGGAUCUGAGCCGGUCUCUGGAUUACUGUUCGUGAUUGGCUGCUAACAAAUUGUCAACGAGUGUGAUGUCAAAUUACGGUGUACAGUUAUUGCGAGCCAUGCAAGGGCCAUGAAGAGAAGGCAUUGCUUGUUUUGCUGGACUGCCACUUGCUCGACACGUUUGGCAAGGAUUGAUUUCCUCUUCCAUUAAUUUAGAACAAUGGUUUUUAUCGAAUUAUGCCCGUGUGUGAUAAUUUCAAUGGGGUAGCUCUGAUUACAAAGAAUCAGAAUUCAACUAAUAAAGAAUCAGAAUUCAACUAAUAAUCUUGUUUGCUUGUGGGUUUUGUUCAAUAUUUACCUUUGUUUUGUUGGAUUCGAAGAUUCCAGUUAAUUAUAUUUAUCUUGAAGUGAAUUUUGCUUACAAAUUUUGCGAGCUCUUUUUAUUUUUCUAUGGAUAUCCAUUUCUUCGACACUUUUCCUCGCGACCCUUUUCGUGGCUCCUCGUUGGAGCAUUUGCUCCUCUCUGUAACCAAAAUAAAUACCCAUUUCCAAAUCGCUGAGCUGAAGGCCUUCUCCUAUAUUAAUCUUUCCCUCCCUCCUUUUGCGCUUCUUCUCUCUCUGUAAUCAUUGGCUAAUCAAUGGCCGCAUCUCAAGCCAGUCUCCUCCUCCAGAAGCAGCUCAAAGGUCAACCUCCUACCCCCAAACCAAACCAAACCAAACCAACCAAAAUUCGCUUUUUUUCUCUUUCUUUUUCAAAUUGGGUUUUUCUUUCUUUGUAAAAAGUUUUAAUUUUUAGCUAUUGUUAUGCAGAUCUCUGUAAGAAACCAGUUGAUGGAUUCUCCGCGGGUUUGGUCGAUGAGAAUAAUGUAUUUGAAUGGAGUGUUUCA
This 1333-nucleotide unclassified non-coding RNA is filed under the name Hevea brasiliensis (rubber tree). Lineage: Eukaryota; Viridiplantae; Streptophyta; Magnoliopsida; Malpighiales; Euphorbiaceae. The record is from RNAcentral.